UCAUCAUUGCAUCAUGCGCAUCAUCUGCAUUGCAUCGGCAUCUCCGUUGCCGCCAGUUUUAAAACUUGCAUCCGUCGUUAGUUGCCGGUUCCCGUCGUUGUUCGUUCCGAGCCUGACCGCACGCGCCCACGGCACCGUCGAAACCCUGUUUUAAAAGUGUGCGUAAAACUUUCUCUGAUCGAGGUGAAACUUGGCAUGCGGUCAUAAUUUGUUUUAGUUAGGCCGCUUGUCAAAUUUCGUCGCGAUCGGAGUCCGUCUGGUACCCGAACGAUCGACCGUAGCGGCACAGUACUCGGUAUACCGUCGGACGUCUUUCGAUGUUGUUAAUUACGUUGUCGGGUCGCCCGUUUUUCCUCUCAUCUUCGCCUAGCCCCUCUGCACAGUUCGUGGACCCAACGCGCGGCCAGUCCGAAAACCUCCCGGAACCCGAACCGGGCGGUCGUAACCGUUGGAUCCGAAUCAACCCCGUUUUACUGCAAAUCGUCAUCGGUUUGUUCAUUAG
This 502-nucleotide long non-coding RNA is filed under the name Hordeum vulgare. RNAcentral's name for it is "long non-coding RNA (HVUL_LNC019008)". Lineage: Eukaryota; Viridiplantae; Streptophyta; Magnoliopsida; Poales; Poaceae. The record is from RNAcentral.